This 466-nucleotide ribosomal RNA is filed under the name uncultured bacterium. Its description in RNAcentral is "partial 16S ribosomal RNA". It matches the Rfam family "Bacterial small subunit ribosomal RNA", at positions 28 to 506 of the family's 1533-position model. The record is from RNAcentral.
GACGAACGCUGGCGGCGUGCUUAACACAUGCAAGUCGAACGAUGACGCCCGAGCUUGCUCGGUCUGAUUAGUGGCGAACGGGUGAGUAACACGUGAGCAACCUGCCCUUCACUCUGGGAUAACCUCGGGAAAUCGGGGCUAAUACCGGAUAUGAGCUCCUGUCGCAUGGCGGGUGUUGGAAAGUUUUUCGGUGAAGGAUGGGCUCGCGGCCUAUUAGUUUGUUGGUGAGGUAGUGGCUCACCAAGGCGAUGACGGGUAGCCGGCCUGAGAGGGCGACCGGCCACACGGGGACGGGGACACGGCCCAGACUCCUACGGGAGGCAGCAGUGGGGAAUAUUGCACAAGGGGCGAAAGCCUGAUGCAGAGACGCCGCGUGAGGGAGGACGGCCUUCGGGUGGUAAACCUCUUUCAGCAGGGAAGAAGCGAAAGUGACGGUACCGGCAGAAGAAGCGCCGGCUAACUACGU